RNAcentral lists this ribosomal RNA (228 nucleotides) under uncultured bacterium. RNAcentral describes it as "partial 16S ribosomal RNA". It matches the Rfam family "Bacterial small subunit ribosomal RNA", at positions 15 to 225 of the family's 1533-position model. The record is from RNAcentral.
GAUCAUGGCUCAGGACGAACGCUGGCGGCGUGCUUAACACAUGCAAGUCGAACGAGAAUCUGUGGAUCGAGGAUUCGUCCAAGUGAAGCAGAGGACAGUGGCGGACGGGUGAGUAACGCGUGAGGAACCUGCCUUUCAGAGGGGGGGCAACAGUUGGAAACGACUGCUAAUACCGCAUGAUACAUUUGGGUGGCAUCAUCUGAAUGUCAAAGAUUUAUCGCUGAAAGA